GAGCUGUUAGGCUGCCGCUCAUCUAGGGUUCGGCUUAGAGUUGCUUAAAACUCGGGCCACUUGCUCAAGCUCGGUCCUCUUAAUAUGGGCUAGAGCUAUGAUUUUUCAGCUUAGCAGGUCGGGCUAGGCUUAAAAAUAGUGCCUGAAUUUUCAAACUGGCCAGGCUCGAAUUUAUAUUGACCCGACCCGGAUUAACUUUAAAAGGGAUCUUAUAGCCCAC
Molecule: long non-coding RNA, 220 nt
Filed under: Elaeis guineensis (African oil palm)
Lineage: Eukaryota; Viridiplantae; Streptophyta; Magnoliopsida; Arecales; Arecaceae
Description: long non-coding RNA (EGUI_LNC016459)
Source: RNAcentral